AGUGUCGUUCGUAGCCAUGGACUCCUCCAACCUCUCAGCUCUCCUUCUCAUCUUCAUGCUCGUCAUUUCCUCCUCCCCUCUCUCUCUUGCCUGUGGCUACUGUCCUCCUUCUACUCCCAAGACCCCGAAAGGACCCAUCACCGUGCCUCCCAUCAUCGUCAACCCACCCAUCACCGUGCCUCCCAUCGUCGUCAGGCCGCCCAUCACCGUGCCUCCCAUCGUCGUCAAGCCGCCCAUCACCGUGCCUCCCAUCAUCGUCAGGCCGCCCAUCACCGUGCCUCCCAUCAUCGUCAAGCCGCCCAUCACGUUGCCUCCCAUCAUCGUCAAGCCGCCCAUCACGUUGCCUCCCAUCAUCGUCAAGCCGCCCAUCACGUUGCCUCCCAUCAUCGUCAAGCCACCCAUCACAGUACCGCCUAUCACGGUGCCACCAGUCAUCGGUGGCGGGAAGCCACCUGGGACCGGAACCGCCGGCUGCCCACCGCCACCAGCACCAGCGAAGCAAUGCCCGGUCGAUGCCGUCAAGUUCGGUACCUGCCUGUAUAUCCUCGGCUCGCCAGUGCACAUCGGCGACCCGGCCGUCACCUGCUGCCCGAUAGUGGAAGGCCU
Molecule: long non-coding RNA, 606 nt
Filed under: Musa acuminata (dwarf banana)
Lineage: Eukaryota; Viridiplantae; Streptophyta; Magnoliopsida; Zingiberales; Musaceae
Description: long non-coding RNA (MACU_LNC011015)
Source: RNAcentral